This 499-nucleotide ribosomal RNA is filed under the name uncultured bacterium. RNAcentral describes it as "bacterial SSU rRNA". It matches the Rfam family "Bacterial small subunit ribosomal RNA", at positions 8 to 518 of the family's 1533-position model. The record is from RNAcentral.
AGAGUUUGAUUCUGGCUCAGGAUGAACGCUGGCGGCGUGCCUAACACAUGCAAGUCGAGCGGAGAUAGGUUGAAGCCUAGCGAUUCCUAUCUUAGCGGCGGAUGGGUGAGUAACACGUGGGUAACCUGCCCUGUACUGGGGGAUAACAGCUGGAAACGGCUGUUAAUACCGCAUAUGCGCACGGAGCCGCAUGGCCCUGGGCGGAAAGAUUCAUCGGUACAGGAUGGGCCCGCGCCGGAUUAACUUGUUGGCGGGGUAACGGCUCACCAAGGUGAUGAUCCGUAGCCGACCUGAGAGGGUGACCGGCCACAUUGGGACUGAGACACGGCCCAAACUCCUACGGGAGGCAGCAGUGGGGGAUAUUGCACAAUGGGGGAAACCCUGAUGCAGCGACGCCGCGUGAAGGAAGAAGUAUUUCGGUAUGUAAACUUCUAUCAGCGGGGAAGAAGAUGACGGUACCCGCACAAGAAGCCCCGGCUAACUACGUGCCAGCCGCGGC